This 253-nucleotide ribosomal RNA is filed under the name uncultured bacterium. RNAcentral describes it as "partial 16S ribosomal RNA". It matches the Rfam family "Bacterial small subunit ribosomal RNA", at positions 524 to 776 of the family's 1533-position model. The record is from RNAcentral.
GACGAACCGUGCGAACGUUAUUCGGAAUCACUGGGCUUAAAGCGCGUGUAGGCGGCCCGGUAAGUCCGCUGUGAAAGUCCAGGGCUCAACCCUGGGAUGCCGGUGGAUACUGUCGGGCUCGAGUCCGGAAGAGGCGAGUGGAAUUCCUGGUGUAGCGGUGGAAUGCGCAGAUAUCAGGAGGAACACCAAUAGCGAAGGCAGCUCGCUGGGACGGUAUUGACGCUAAGGCGCGAAAGCGUGGGGAGCAAACAGG